Molecule: ribosomal RNA, 849 nt
Filed under: Escherichia coli
Lineage: Bacteria; Pseudomonadati; Pseudomonadota; Gammaproteobacteria; Enterobacterales; Enterobacteriaceae
Description: partial 23S ribosomal RNA
Rfam family: Bacterial large subunit ribosomal RNA
Source: RNAcentral
UCUGGAAAGGCGCGCGAUACAGGGUGACAGCCCCGUACACAAAAAUGCACAUGCUGUGAGCUCGAUGAGUAGGGCGGGACACGUGGUAUCCUGUCUGAAUAUGGGGGGACCAUCCUCCAAGGCUAAAUACUCCUGACUGACCGAUAGUGAACCAGUACCGUGAGGGAAAGGCGAAAAGAACCCCGGCGAGGGGAGUGAAAAAGAACCUGAAACCGUGUACGUACAAGCAGUGGGAGCACGCUUAGGCGUGUGACUGCGUACCUUUUGUAUAAUGGGUCAGCGACUUAUAUUCUGUAGCAAGGUUAACCGAAUAGGGGAGCCGAAGGGAAACCGAGUCUUAACUGGGCGUUAAGUUGCAGGGUAUAGACCCGAAACCCGGUGAUCUAGCCAUGGGCAGGUUGAAGGUUGGGUAACACUAACUGGAGGACCGAACCGACUAAUGUUGAAAAAUUAGCGGAUGACUUGUGGCUGGGGGUGAAAGGCCAAUCAAACCGGGAGAUAGCUGGUUCUCCCCGAAAGCUAUUUAGGUAGCGCCUCGUGAAUUCAUCUCCGGGGGUAGAGCACUGUUUCGGCAAGGGGGUCAUCCCGACUUACCAACCCGAUGCAAACUGCGAAUACCGGAGAAUGUUAUCACGGGAGACACACGGCGGGUGCUAACGUCCGUCGUGAAGAGGGAAACAACCCAGACCGCCAGCUAAGGUCCCAAAGUCAUGGUUAAGUGGGAAACGAUGUGGGAAGGCCCAGACAGCCAGGAUGUUGGCUUAGAAGCAGCCAUCAUUUAAAGAAAGCGUAAUAGCUCACUGGUCGAGUCGGCCUGCGCGGAAGAUGUAACGGGGCUAAACCAUGCAC